CUCGUGAAGGGGCAAAAUACUCCAGCUGUGGAGGAAACCAGGGAUGAGUGAACAAGUCAUAAAUGGCGCGAGUCUUAUCUGCCCUCAGCCUUAAGCGCUGGCUCCUGAUAAACUAUUCAUGGCCCCUAAGUGAGAUUUGUUACCAGUGGAGGGAGUGAAACGAGACAUGAGUAGUUCCCCUAUACAAGACUGCUGUAUAAGAAAGUGUAAUUAUCUUAGAAUAAUUAUUGUGUAGUUAUUUUAUUGUCCAUCGGAGGGCAGCGAGGGUGAUUGGGAGACUGGAGAAUCUCACUUACGAAGGAAGGCUGAGGGAGCUGGGCCUGUUCAGCCUCCCGAAGAGACGAUUGAGAUGGGACCCCAUCAAUGCCUGUUCUGCGAGCCUUGAGAAUGGGAAGUUCUUCAGCAUCAGUCCCAGAAGUUCCUGCUCAUUUGGCAGCUCCCACAGUAUCAUCACUGCUGAAGAUCAGGAGGUCUGUUCCAGUAACUGCUGUAAAGGUGAUAUGAAGUUUGUUAUAAAACACAGCCAAAGUGGUUCCCAACAAGCAGUGCAGGUGGGUAGGUGGGCACAUGGGGAGGAGGUGGCACAGAGGUUCUCGGAGCUCUGCUGGACCUCAUGUCACUGUUCCUUCAUAAAAGAGCCUUCCUGGAAGCAGUAAUUUUUGCCCAGGAAUGUCAGAUAUGCCAUCUAUUGCAGAGAGCAAAAGGAGAGCAACAAGUGCCAAAGUCUGAAGGGUCAUUCUCAUCUGGCUGUUGUUAUUAAAAAAUAUGGAAUAAAGCAGGUUGGGGGAAGAAGAAUUUUCCUACCUUUGGCCUAACCUACAGACCACAUAAAGGGCACUGCAAUUCAGAGGUCCUCACAGACAAACUUUUACCCGAGGACUGCCUGGACCACUUCUGCUUCGAGAAUCAGACUCAGAAGUCCUUGAGCUGGACCGAGAGCUGUCUUCUUCCUCUGAUCCUGAUGAUUCAUCUAUAAAUGGGCUGUUGCUUAUUUGAGUUGCUUUCUGCACAAAUGAACACAACAUUCUUUGAUACCUUGCAUAAAGGCUAUCAGUCAUUUCCUUCAUACUGUGUCAGAGCUCUGUUGGCUUCAUAAUAUUCAAAGCUGUUUCUUGCUUGGGUUGUGAGUUUUGGCACACAAAUACUAACAUGAAACUGAAUUCCCUCUGCCCUCUGUAUACUCAAACACACCCACACUUUAAAACAGAAACCUGAGGUAGCUCAAGGCAUGGGUCUUUCCAAAUCACAAAAGACUGUCAGAAACAAACAAUGCUGCGAUUACUUACUGCUGGUUUUGUGACUACAAACAGCUUUGGCACUGACACAAAGAAUUUCUACAUACACAUGCUUUUAAUUAUGACAUUGAACACCAUGUGGUUCUGUUUAAUAAUUAACAAGCCUUUGGAAAAAAUCAGCAAGGAACCUAAGAAGAACUGACCUAGGCUAGUAACAUUUCAUAAGCAGUAUUUUUUUCCCCAGCUAUUUGACAUUUCUAUUACUUCUGGGGUUCUGUGAUCUCUAAACAUCAAUGUACAACAUAUUUGGCAUGGUAGUAUCAAAUGUAAAACAGUAAGUUCCUGGAUAUGAAGCCUCAUGGUAUUUAAAUAUUUCCUUUAAACAGUAAUACAGUUACCCCUUUCAAAGUGGUAUAGACAGGAGUGGUCAUGUUCUUAUAUAUCAGGGAUGUAUAUAAUCCGGAUAUGGAGCAUGAAGUUAGUGAAACAGCACCUAAAAAAGCAACAUAUUCUAUAAAUUACCUUCUUAAUUUACUCCUCAAUUAACCAAAUUCAAAUGUGAUUUUUUUUGGUGUUAACUGCUAUAAAAAGCAAACUAACUCCCAAACUGUUUUAGAUGGGAGAUUUAUAACCUUUUAAAAUUUACAAUGGUUUUAAGAAGCAUAAAUAAAACUGCAGUAAUGAGCACUAUUCCUUUUUGAAUUGGAAGUAUAAGCUCUUACCUUGGUACCUCGUAUAGAAUAUUCAAAAGAAUUGCAAAGUAAAGUGGAGUGAACAAUGCACAAAUUCAGCACAAAAUCAAGAGGUAAGGUAGACUAUGGAAAGAUAACCAAUAAUCUAGGUUUUAAAUAACUGAUAACUAAAUCUUCAUAAAAUUAUUUUAGAAGUCCUUGCUUACACAUCAACAUAAGAAUAGGAUUUUUUUUGAUGAGACAAUGAACAACUAAACCACUUACUUUUAUUACGAGAUUCCAGGGUCAAAGCUUCAGACAUCCUUAAACCAGAUUUGGCUACAGCAUAAAUUCUGCUUUCCUAUACAAGCAGAAUGGAUUUGAUGGUACAUAAUUAAAACACAACAAAUACUUUUCUUCUGUUUAGCCUCCUAGUCUUUGUGUUAGUGCAACUAUAUGCUAAAAUGGGUCACAGAAUGACAGCAGCUGAAAAAUGCAUCCUUCUUUUAUAUGCCAUACCCAUCAUAUUCAUAGUCUGUUUCAACAUUUUUCAUACAAUGCUUGCCCUGUAGGUAACUUAGUUUUAAAAAUACUAUUAUCAGGUGCCAAGGAAGCUAUAGUAAGAAUGUUUUUUAAUGGAAGAUUGCGAGUUAAGAACAGAGAAAUGCCAUUAAAAGACAGUUUUUCAAUCAUUUUGUGUUAGAAGACUACAAUAAGAAAAUCUGUAAAGAAAAAAAUGCACUAAAAUAUAUACAUAGAAAAGCUGUUACAUUAAUGCAUUAUUCAUCUCUGAAUCAUUAAUAAAUCUCUGACACUGGAACCGCAGAA
Empidonax traillii (willow flycatcher) is the source of this 2734-nucleotide long non-coding RNA. RefSeq lists it as uncharacterized. NCBI's taxonomy places the organism in Eukaryota, Metazoa, Chordata, Aves, Passeriformes, Tyrannidae. The transcript has 7 exons. The record is from RefSeq and is a predicted model, not a curated record.